CACCUUUGACAUCCCGUGCUAUCUAGAGAGAUCUAGAGUCCCUUCGGGGCGCGGAGACAGGUGCUGCAUGGCUGUCGUCAGCUCGUGUCGUGAGAUGUUGGGUUAAGUCCCGCAACGAGCGCAACCCUCGCUUCUAGUUGCCAGCAUUUAGUUGGGCACUCUAGAGGAACUGCCUGCGCUAAGCAGGAGGAAGGCGGGGAUGACGUCAAGUCCUCAUGGCCCUUACAGGUGGGGCUACACACGUGCUACAAUGGCGGUGACAAAGGGAUAAUCCCUAAAAGCCGUCUCAGUUCGGAUUGUCCUCUGCAACUCGAGGGCAUGAAGUUGGAAUCGCUAGUAAUCGCGGAUCAGCACGCCGCGGUGAAUACGUUCCCGGGCC
Molecule: ribosomal RNA, 379 nt
Filed under: uncultured bacterium
Lineage: Bacteria
Description: bacterial SSU rRNA
Rfam family: Bacterial small subunit ribosomal RNA
Source: RNAcentral